GAUGAACGCUAGCGGGAGGCCUAACACAUGCAAGCCGAGCGGUAGAGUUUCUUCGGAAACUUGAGAGCGGCGCACGGGUGCGUAACACGUGUGCAGCCUACCUUUAUCUGGGGGAUAGCCUUUCGAAAGGAAGAUUAAUACCCCAUAAUAUAAUGAUUGGCAUCAAUUAUUAUUGAAAACUCCGGUGGAUAGAGAUGGGCACGCGCAAGAUUAGAUAGUUGGUGAGGUAACGGCUCACCAAGUCAAUGAUCUUUAGGGGUCCUGAGAGGGAGAUCCCCCACACUGGUACUGAGACACGGACCAGACUCCUACGGGAGGCAGCAGUGAGGAAUAUUGGACAAUGGGUGAGAGCCUGAUCCAGCCAUCCCGCGUGAAGGAUGACGGUCCUAUGGAUUGUAAACUUCUUUUGUACAGGGAUAAACCUACCCUCGUGAGGGUAGCUGAAGGUACUGUACGAAUAAGCACCGGCUAACUCCGUG
Molecule: ribosomal RNA, 479 nt
Filed under: uncultured bacterium
Lineage: Bacteria
Description: partial 16S ribosomal RNA
Rfam family: Bacterial small subunit ribosomal RNA
Source: RNAcentral